RNAcentral lists this long non-coding RNA (970 nucleotides) under Mytilus galloprovincialis (Mediterranean mussel). The record is from RNAcentral. Lineage: Eukaryota; Metazoa; Mollusca; Bivalvia; Mytilida; Mytilidae.
CGGUUGAAAACAAAACUUUACGACAAAAGAGAUGAUUUCAGCUUUCCAAUUGUGAACUUUACAUUUCUUAGUAGCAACAUUCCAGCAGCACCUGCAUACGGUGAGAGCAGGAUCUGCUUACCCUUCCGGAGCACCUGAGAUCACCUCUAGUUUUUGGUGGGGUUCGUGUUGUUUAUUCUUUAGUUUUCUAUGUUGUGUCAUGUGUACUAUUGUUUUACUGUUUGUCUUUUUCAUUUUUAGCCAUGGCGUUGUCAGUUAGUUUUAGAUUUAUGAGAUUGACUGUCCCUUUGGUAUCUUUCGUCCCUCUUUUCUUUACAUGGGGUUCUAAUACUCUGCCAUCUGCUGUGUUUUCUGGAAAUUUACAAGAUACGCGAAGAAAUAGGUUCCACGUGCACACAGCAACUACUUUGAAUGAUUCACUCAUGUUCCUGUACAGAUAAUAAUUUCCCGGUACAAUUGUCAGUUUGAUCACUGGCUUUGGUCAGUAAGCACCGUUAUCUUUAGAUAAACUUGGUAUAUAUCUUAUUAUGCUGUUGGACGAAUAACUUUCAGAGUUUAGUGUUGAAAUGUAUUGAGAACUCAUAAUGAAGUUUAAUAAUGAUAUUUAUAACGAUGAAACAAAUAGUUUUAAAGAGGAGGAAGAUUUCAGGCCAUUAAGUGCUGUAACAUAUAAGAACCGUUUGGAAAAGUUUGUCCGUUUCCACUGUUAAAGUGGAAAAGAUGUUAAACAAGGAGCUGGAAUCUAGUGAUUUAAUAAGACUUUGUCAUAUUGGCAAAUAGAGUAGGAGGCAAGAAAAAACGAGAAAAACAGGGAGUGAUGAUUGCUCACGAUAGAGACAAUAUUCGUUAAAUCAGUAAAUGUCAAAAAACCGUUUCAUCCUUCACAUGUAGAUUCUACACAAUUAAAAAUGUUACCCUUCCUUCAUCAUUAAGAGUUUCUGAAUAUUCAUUAUUUAACUUUCAAAUAGAG